Molecule: non-coding RNA, 102 nt
Filed under: unclassified sequences
Description: RT-17 RNA
Rfam family: RT-17 RNA
About the family: Bacteroidales (Bacteroidetes), Clostridiales (Firmicutes).
Source: Rfam by way of RNAcentral
GACCUUGCCCCAAGGCAGAAAAUUCACUUAUCUAGAUUAGCUGGUAGAUGAUGACAAUAGGGUCAUCCGGUCGAAGGUUAGGACUCUUAAUUAAGCAGACAA